UAAAUUUUAAACAACUAAUAUAUUUCAAUUAAAGUCCGUCUCUGCUUUGGAACUUUGAGUAUAAAUAUGCUCAAUUUUUGAAGCGAUAACUACUCUACAAACCAUAGAUUACCAACAUUAAAUAUUGACUUUAUUUUUUUGCGGCAAAGAUAUCAAAAGAUGAAGUUUCUUAUUGUUUUUGUAAGUUUUGCGCUUGUGGCUUGCGCGUAUAGUUUGUCCUCACCGUCGACACUUGAGGAAGACAAUCAAACUCUGGAUAUUGACAAUGAAGCAUUUGAUUCAGUUGAUAAUACUCUAUCAAGUCGCGCUGUUUGUACCGCACGUUUAUGUUCUAACAUUUGCGCACGAUUGGGUUUCCGGAGAUACAGAUGCAUGAGUACCCGUGUCUGUCGUUGUUAUCGUUAGAUACCUAGAUAACUUGAUUGUCCCACUGAUUGAUCGACUUAAUUCUGUUCUUGCUAUUUGAAAUCUGAUGGAUUGUAUAUGAAAUCCAAAUAUGUUAAAAAUAUAAUUAUUCGAAGCAUUGCAUAUUA
Long non-coding RNA from Dalotia coriaria, 533 nucleotides. RefSeq lists it as uncharacterized. The transcript has 2 exons. NCBI's taxonomy places the organism in Eukaryota, Metazoa, Arthropoda, Insecta, Coleoptera, Staphylinidae. The record is from RefSeq and is a predicted model, not a curated record.